This 465-nucleotide ribosomal RNA is filed under the name uncultured bacterium. RNAcentral describes it as "partial 16S ribosomal RNA". It matches the Rfam family "Bacterial small subunit ribosomal RNA", at positions 29 to 507 of the family's 1533-position model. The record is from RNAcentral.
AUGCACGCUGGCGGCGUGCUUAACACAUGCCAGUCGAACGAUGAAGCCCAGCUUGCUGGGUGGAUUAGUGGCGAACGGGUGAGUAACACGUGAGUAACCUGCCCUUAACUCUGGGAUAAGCCUGGGAAACUGGGUCUAAUACCGGAUAGGAGCGCCUACCGCAUGGUGGGUGUUGGAAAGAUUUAUCGGUUUUGGAUGGACUCGCGGCCUAUCAGCUUGUUGGUGAGGUAAUGGCUCACCAAGGCGACGACGGGUAGCCGGCCUGAGAGGGUGACCGGCCACACUGGGACUGAGACACGGCCCAGACUCCUACGGGAGGCAGCAGUGGGGAAUAUUGCACAAUGGGCGAAAGCCUGAUGCAGCGACGCCGCGUGAGGGAUGACGGCCUUCGGGUUGUAAACCUCUUUCAGUAGGGAAGAAGCGAAAGUGACGGUACCUGCAGAAGAAGCACCGGCUAACUACGUG